This is a long non-coding RNA of Oncorhynchus keta (chum salmon), 239 nucleotides long. RefSeq lists it as uncharacterized. Lineage: Eukaryota; Metazoa; Chordata; Actinopteri; Salmoniformes; Salmonidae. The record is from RefSeq and is a predicted model, not a curated record. The transcript is spliced from 3 exons.
GCUAACAUGCUAACGGGUUAAUACAAGCGGGCUAACAGGUUAAUACAAGCGGGCUAACAUGCUAAUACGUUAAUACAAGCGGGCUAACAUGCUAAUACGUUAAUACAAGCGGGCUAACAGGUUAAUACAAGCGGGCUAACAUGCUAAUACGUUAAUACAAGCGGGCUAACAUGCUAACCACCAGCGGGCAAACUGAACUACGACAAGCUUUCCCUGAUUGCCCGGUGAGCUGCGUAACA